AAUUAGAUGUCCGCCCCAUCAAUUGCGAUGGUAAGGUAGUGGCUUACCAUGGUUGCAACGGGUAACGGGGAAUCAGGGUUCGAUUCCGGAGAGGGAGCAUGAGAAACGGCUGCCAGAUCUAUGGAUUGCAGCAGGUGCGAAAAUUAUCCACUUUUGGCAUAAAGAGAUAGUGAUGAUAAAUAACGGAUCUGGGCAUUUGUUCAGAGAUCGUAAUGAAAUAAUCGUAAAAGCUUUAUUGAAAGCAAUUGGAGGGCAAGUCUGGUGCCAGCAGCCGCGGCAAUUCCAGUUCCAAUAGUGUAUACUAAAGUUGCUGCAGUUGAAAAGCUCGUAGUUGGAUCUCGGUUUGCUGGCGCACAAGGUGCGCAAGUAGGCCUGUGCUGUAGUUGAGUGCUACGGCUUUACCUUGAACAAAAUAGAGUGCUUAAGGCAAGCAUUCUGCUUGAAUAUCUCAGCAUGGAAUAAUAGAAAAAGACUUUCUAUUGGUUAGCCAGUGAAAGUAAUGAUUAACAGAGACAGACGGGGGCAUUCGUAUUGCACCGCUAGAGGUGAAAUUCGUAGACCGGUGCAGGACGAACUACAGCGAAAGCAUUUGCCAAGGAUGUUUUCAUUAAUCAAGAACGACAGUUGGAGUAUCGAAGUCGAUUAGAUCUCGUCGUAGUUCCAACUAUAAACGAUGCCAACUAGCACUCCGCUAAUAAUGUUUGUUACAUUAGCGGGUGGCUUCCGGGAAACCAAAGUCUUUGGGCUCCGGGGGAAGUAUGGUUGCAAAGCUGAAACUUAAAGGAAUUGACGGAAGGGCACCACCAGGAGUGGAGCCUGCGGCUCAAUUUGACUCAACACAGAAAAACUCACCCGGGCCGAACACAGUAAGGAUUGACAGAUUGAUAGCUUUUUCUUGAUACUGUGGGUAGUGGUGCAUGGCCGUUGUUGGUUGGUGGAGUGAUCUGUCUGGUUAAUUCCGAUAACGAACGAGACUCAAGCCUGCUUAUAAGUUGGUCGAUUCUGGUCGAACAACUACUUAGAGGGAUCAGUGUAUAAAACACUUGAAAAUGAGCAAUAACAGGUCUGUGAUUGCCCUUAGACGUUCGGGGCUGCACGCGCGCUACAAUGAAGAAAGCAGUGGGUGACUUGCUUGAGAAGGCAAGCCAAACCUUAAAAUUUCUUCGUGGCAGGAAUCGAGGCUUGUAAUUAUUCCUCGUGCACAAGG
RNAcentral lists this ribosomal RNA (1207 nucleotides) under Dicyema sp. L10 DS-2016. RNAcentral's name for it is "SSU rRNA". It matches the Rfam family "Eukaryotic small subunit ribosomal RNA", at positions 297 to 1608 of the family's 1831-position model. Lineage: Eukaryota; Metazoa; Dicyemida; Rhombozoa; Dicyemidae. The record is from RNAcentral.